UGCACCUUCUCCAUCACCCGCAAGUUUUGACUCUUCCAAGAAUGUGAAAUCUAAUGGACCUUCAGCUUCAGGUCCUGACGGGUCUAGCUUUUAUUCAGGUUCUGGUUCUUUUAUGAGUUCCGGUUCCUAUGAGGGUUCCUGCUCUUACAAGGAUUCUAACUCUUUUAAGGGUUCUGCAAAUUCUAGUGAAUCAGGUUCUCGCAAUUGUGAGAGUUCGGGCUCUUCUAAGAAUUCAGACUCUUCAUCAG
This 248-nucleotide long non-coding RNA is filed under the name Durio zibethinus. RNAcentral describes it as "long non-coding RNA (DZIB_LNC001198)". Lineage: Eukaryota; Viridiplantae; Streptophyta; Magnoliopsida; Malvales; Malvaceae. The record is from RNAcentral.